Molecule: ribosomal RNA, 495 nt
Filed under: uncultured bacterium
Lineage: Bacteria
Description: partial 16S ribosomal RNA
Rfam family: Bacterial small subunit ribosomal RNA
Source: RNAcentral
GACGAACGCUGGCGGCGUGCCUAAUACAUGCAAGUCGAACGCUGAAGGAGGAGCUUGCUCUUCUGGAUGAGUUGCGAACGGGUGAGUAACGCGUAGGUAACCUGCCUGGUAGCGGGGGAUAACUAUUGGAAACGAUAGCUAAUACCGCAUAAGAGUAGAUGUUGCAUGACAUUUGCUUAAAAGGUGCAAUUGCAUCACUACCAGAUGGACCUGCGUUGUAUUAGCUAGUUGGUGGGGUAACGGCUCACCAAGGCGACGAUACAUAGCCGACCUGAGAGGGGGAUCGGCCACACUGGGACUGAGACACGGCCCAGACUCCUACGGGAGGCAGCAGUAGGGAAUCUUCGGCAAUGGACGGAAGUCUGACCGAGCAACGCCGCGUGAGUGAAGAAGGGUUUCGGAUCGUAAAGCUCUGUUGUAAGAGAAGAACGAGUGUGAGAGUGGAAAGUUCACACUGUGACGGUAUCUUACCAGAAAGGGACGGCUAACUACGUG